UACAGAGGUCUCAAGCGUUGUUCGGAUUCAUUGGGCGUAAAGGGUGCGCAGGUGGCGAGGCAAGUCGGAUGUGAAAUCCCCGGGCUCAACCUGGGAACUGCAUUUGUGACUGCAUCGCUAGAGUACGGCAGAGGGGGGAUGGAAUUCCGCGUGUAGCAGUGAAAUGCGUAGAUAUGCGGAGGAACACCGAUGGCGAAGGCAAUCCCCUGGGCCUGUACUGACGCUCAUGCACGAAAGCGUGGGGAGCAAACAGG
RNAcentral lists this ribosomal RNA (254 nucleotides) under uncultured bacterium. RNAcentral describes it as "partial 16S ribosomal RNA". It matches the Rfam family "Bacterial small subunit ribosomal RNA", at positions 524 to 776 of the family's 1533-position model. The record is from RNAcentral.